AGUGAACGCUGGCGGUAGGCCUAACACAUGCAAGUCGAACGGCAGCACAGUAAGAGCUUGCUCUUACGGGUGGCGAGUGGCGGACGGGUGAGGAAUACAUCGGAAUCUACUUUUUCGUGGGGGAUAACGUAGGGAAACUUACGCUAAUACCGCAUACGACCUACGGUUGAAAGCAGGGGAUCUUCGGACCUUGCGCGAUUGAAUGAGCCGAUGUCGGAUUAGCUAGUUUGCGGGGUAAAGGCCCACCAAGGCGACGAUCCGUAGCUGGUAUGAGAAGAUGAUCAGCCACACUGGAACUGAGACAAGGUCCAGACUCCUACGGGAUGCAGCAGUGGGGAAGAUUCGACAAUGGGCGCAAGCCUGAUCCAGCCAUACCGCGUGGGUGAAGAAGGCCUUCGGGUUGUAAAGCCCUUUUGUUGGGAAAGAAAAGCAGCAGGUUAAUACCCCGCUGUUCUGACGGUACCCAAAGAAUAAGCACCGGCUAACUUCGUG
Molecule: ribosomal RNA, 492 nt
Filed under: uncultured bacterium
Lineage: Bacteria
Description: partial 16S ribosomal RNA
Rfam family: Bacterial small subunit ribosomal RNA
Source: RNAcentral